Molecule: ribosomal RNA, 498 nt
Filed under: uncultured bacterium
Lineage: Bacteria
Description: partial 16S ribosomal RNA
Rfam family: Bacterial small subunit ribosomal RNA
Source: RNAcentral
AUUGAACGCUAGCGGCAGGCCUAAUACAUGCAAGUCGAACGAUAUUUUCCAGCUUGCUGGGAGAGAAAGUGGCGCACGGGUGCGUAACGCGUAUGCAACCUACCUUUAUCAGGGGGAUAGCCCGGAGAAAUCCGGAUUAAUACCGCAUAAAAUCACAGAACGGCAUUGUUCAAUGAUCAGACAUUUAUGGGAUAAGGAUGGGCAUGCGUGUCAUUAGCUAGUUGGCGGGGUAACGGCCCACCAAGGCGACGAUGACUAGGGGAUCUGAGAGGAUGGCCGCCCACACUGGUACUGAUACACGGACAAGGCUACUACGAGAGGCAGCAGUACGGAAUAUUGGUAAAUGGAGGCGACUCUGAACCAGCCAGGCCGCGUGCAGGAAGACUGCCCUAUGGGUUGUAAACUGCUUUUAUCCGGGAAUAAACCUCCGAUCGGGAUCGGAGCUGAAUGUACCGGAAGAAUAAGGAUCGGCUAACUCCGUGCCAGCCGCCGCCGUAA